This 24-nucleotide non-coding RNA is filed under the name Arabidopsis thaliana (thale cress). Lineage: Eukaryota; Viridiplantae; Streptophyta; Magnoliopsida; Brassicales; Brassicaceae. The record is from RNAcentral.
UUUUGACGACUUUUUUCAGGUUGA